GCCUGGGGAGUACGGCCGCAAGGGUAAAACUCAAAUGAAUUGACGGGGGCUCACACAAGCGGUGGAGCAUGUGGAUUAAUUCGAAACAACGCGCAGUACCUUACCUGGGUUUACAUGCUUGGAUGCCUGCUCCGAAAGGAGUUAGGCUCCUUUCGGGUGAAACUUGCACAAGGUGCUCAAUGGCUUGUCGUCCGCUCGUGUCCGUGAGAUGUCGGGUUUAGUCCUUUAAACGAGCGAAACCCUUGCCGUUAGUUGCCAGCGAGUAAUGUCGGGGACUCUAACGGGACUGCCGGUGUUUAACCGGAGGAAGGUGGGGAUGACGUCAAGUCCUCAUGGCCUUUAUGCCCAGGGCUUCACACGUGCUACAAUGGCAAUUACAAAACGACGCGAUACCGCGAGGUGGAGCAAAUCGCAAAAAAAUUGCCUCAGUUCGGAUUGCAGGCUGGCAAUUCGCCUGCGUGAAGUCGGAAUCGCUAGUAAUCGCGUAUCAGCCAUGACGCGGUGAAUGUGUUCCUGAGCCUUGUACA
RNAcentral lists this ribosomal RNA (527 nucleotides) under uncultured organism. RNAcentral's name for it is "bacterial SSU rRNA". It matches the Rfam family "Bacterial small subunit ribosomal RNA", at positions 871 to 1387 of the family's 1533-position model. The record is from RNAcentral.